Molecule: long non-coding RNA, 557 nt
Filed under: Mustela putorius furo (domestic ferret)
Lineage: Eukaryota; Metazoa; Chordata; Mammalia; Carnivora; Mustelidae
Description: lncRNA (ENSMPUG00000030484.1)
Source: RNAcentral
CGAAGGCGGAUGCUUAACCCACUGAGCCACCCAGGCGCCCCUCUACUUAGAAUAUAUACAUAUGUGUGUGUGUGUGUGUGUGUGUGUGUGUGUGUGUGUGUGUGUGUGUAAAAUCACCCUCUAACUUAUUUGUUGACUUAUUUCAUGGAAAUGGGUCAUUAUGCUUUACCCAGGCAUGUACUAGGCUGCAAAUCCUCAGGAGCAAAUACACAAAUAAAACUUUGCUCCAUUCAAUGCCUUGUUGCCUCUGAUUUGAGACAUAGUCAAAGGACAAUUCUUAUCCUGGCCCUGGCACAUACAACCCGGAGAUGAAGCCACCCCCCAAAAUCACUUGGCCAAUGAAAUUUGGAUCUCCAGACUGGGCUCAGGUUCCAUGUCUACAGAAAAGAACCCUAAAAGCUGAGGUAAGAAGACUUGAAUUUAUGUAGAGCCCUCUCUCUGGUACUUUCAUAUGUAUCAGGAAUUCUUAUCCAGAAAGAGCUGCAGGAAGUCCUUGCUCCCCUGACAGUAGUUUGUGCGGUUUUGUGCAGAUAUGCAUAUGAGAACCCUUUUGGAGA